GGCCUUAUGGUCUAGUCGCAUGAUUCUUCCUUUGGGGAGCUACUACAGCUUACGUAAUUGGAAGAGGUCCUGGGUUCAAUUCCCAGUGAGGCCC
RNAcentral lists this transfer RNA (94 nucleotides) under Galerina marginata CBS 339.88. RNAcentral's name for it is "tRNA-Pro". It matches the Rfam family "tRNA". Rfam says of the family: Transfer RNA (tRNA) molecules are approximately 80 nucleotides in length. Their secondary structure includes four short double-helical elements and three loops (D, anti-codon, and T loops). Lineage: Eukaryota; Fungi; Basidiomycota; Agaricomycetes; Agaricales; Galerinaceae. The record is from RNAcentral.